ACUCUGACCAAUGAGAGGCAAGCGGAAGUGACGGUUAUUCCUCCUGCGCGGGAGCUUUGGGGACGCACUUCUGGAUGCCUAGGCCUCUUCCGUUUGCCUCUGGGACUGGCGAUACUCGAGAUGUCUUGAGGCCUUCCAGACCUUGCUCCACCUCCACCACCAGGUCUCCAGUCCUGAGCCACAUGCUGCCAUUUUUGUCUCAGAAGCACCCCUCUUCCAGGUGGAAGAUUGAAGGUCUGAAGAGUGGGAAGUCCCAGGAACAGGCAAUUCCAGGAAGAUAUGAGGAAAAUCAAGAAAGAGAAGGAAACUGAAGCUAGUGGGAAGUGCUUCAAGUUGGAGAUGAUGCUGAGAUGGCCAAAAAGUGAGAGGUGGAAAACAUUUGGAGUGAGUUAAGGAGAGAACGCGAGGCAAGGAAGUGAAGCUGAGUGAGUUGGGGAGUGGGGUGCAGGGGCCUUUGGCCACCCCAGGCUCUUUCUAUGUGAACAUUCUGAGACUGAUUCUGAUUUUUUUCCCCUCCCAAAUUGCUCUCUUUUCCUUUCUUCACCUACUUACUCCCUGGUCAUCCUUCCUUUGGGUCAGUGAAGUUGCUGAUUCUUUAGGGAACACUUCUCUGAUUGCUGAAGCUAAUAGUCUCUCCCUGCGGUUGCCGGUUGUUUCCAAUAGUUGACUAGUUUUCUUCCCCAGCACUUACGAGUACACAGCCAGUCACUCUGGUUGCUCACUGUCUUCCUUCUUCCUUGACUGUCAGCUCACAGGAAUGCAGGGCCCUUACUUGUUUUACUCACCACUGCAUCCCAAGGAUAUAGCAGAGUGCCUGGCACACGGUAGGUGCUGAAUAAAUAUUCGUUAAAUGAUUGAUUGGAGGAAAAAACCACCAUCCUCCAUGGUAAACCUUUACUUUACUUUUGCAUACUUCUAAAAGUAUAAUCUAGAGGUUCAGUGACUCCCGCAAAUAAACAGAAAAGGGCACAGAGGGUGGCGAUAGGGCCACUGAUAACAGGAGCUGGAAGUAGAAGACAUCUUUUUUCCGAAGUUGAAGACUUGUACUUCCAUAACCUUGGCAGAUUAGGAAAUGUCAAUUACCCUCCAAUCCAACCUCCUAUAUAGAGCCACACACUGGUUUCCUAGCCUUUUAUGUAUUGAAAAGAUGUUAUCCUAUAAAUUUUCUUCUUUUCCAAUGUGUUCUAUAAAUAUCCACUAAAAUACUUUAAUUGCAAGAAAGUUAGAUAUUUGAGGUUAUAUCCAUGUUUCAUUUCUGUGGAAAACAACACAGAAAAUGUUACCCAAGUAUAACUGGGCACCAUGGCUCCAAUAUUUUCUCAUUAUCAGCUCAAAUAAACACAACUUAGAAUAAAAAAGUCAUGUAAAGCAAUUCAAAUAUUUCACUUCAUCUGUCAAGGAAAUAUCAGGAGGGUGGUUGGGAGUACAUUCUUGAUGCACAGCAGGAAUCUUUUACACUUCUUUCUCCCCAUUUCUGCCCCUCUCGGUAUCCUCCACAGGGAGAGCAGCUGCUCCCUGAAACUCUCACUCUCUCUGCAUUUUUCCUUUCCAGUGCCUCAAAACUGCACACCACCUGGUACUUGGCAGUGCAGCACUUUGCUCAGGGGGAUGGGUCUCCAUCUCUCUGCCGUCCUGUUUUUCUUUUUUCCCGUCAAUUAUUCUUUGCCUUUUCCAUAGAUCAAGAAGAAGGUGAUGUGUACUCAUGUACAUUAAAAACUCCUGUCUCCAUUGCCUA
This 1735-nucleotide long non-coding RNA is filed under the name Homo sapiens (human). Its description in RNAcentral is "novel transcript". Lineage: Eukaryota; Metazoa; Chordata; Mammalia; Primates; Hominidae. The record is from RNAcentral.